CUCACACCUUAUUCCUCAUCCCUGCGUGAUUCUGCCCUCGCUUUUAAAAGACGAAGGUCACAAUGUUACAAAAAGAGGAUUGACUUUUUUUCUGGGCCAGUUCCUGGAAAGGCAUUUUGAUGAGGGUUUUAUACAACCGAACGGUCGCUGUGUUUAUCCAUCCUUAUGGGACGUCACUGAGCAGGAAGGAGAGAGUUCACCGAAGGACAGGUGCCCCUUCAGGGAGGGGGGUGCCACUCCUGUUGGCUGCCCUCACUGCAGACUCGCGUCACACGCCGGGGUCUGCAAGGCAGGACUUCACUGUUAUUCUUUUGUGAGGAGGAACGUAGCCUCAAACUGUGGCCCCACAGACAUAAUGUCAUCUUGGCGUCCCAAUAAAGUACUUGGUCCCCAGAAUCUGCCAGGGUCUCCAUGCCCUGCUAACACCCCUGACUGUA
Long non-coding RNA from Brienomyrus brachyistius, 437 nucleotides. RefSeq lists it as uncharacterized. Lineage: Eukaryota; Metazoa; Chordata; Actinopteri; Osteoglossiformes; Mormyridae. The transcript has 3 exons. The record is from RefSeq and is a predicted model, not a curated record.